This 157-nucleotide unclassified non-coding RNA is filed under the name uncultured Ascomycota. RNAcentral's name for it is "sequence contains ITS1". Lineage: Eukaryota; Fungi; Ascomycota. The record is from RNAcentral.
CCGAGUACCGGGUCUUCUAGGCCCAUACUCCCACCCUUUGUGUAUCAAUAUUUUGUUCGUUGCCUCGGCGGGGUCGAUCCCACAUGGGGGACCUGCCGGGGGGACACCACCAAACUCUUAUCAACAGUGACGUCUGAGAAAUUUUUUAAACAAGUUA